UACAGAGGGUGCAAGCGUUGCUCGGAUUUACUGGGCGUAAAGCGUACGCAGACGGUGAGGAAGGUCGGAUGUGAAAGCCCUGGGCUCAACCCAGGAACUGCAUCCGAAACCCCCUCGCUAGAGUAUAGGAGAGGGAAGCGGAAUUCCUGGUGUAGAGGUGAAAUUCGUAGAUAUCAGGAGGAACAUCUGAGGCGAAGGCGGCUUCCUGGCCUAUUACUGACGUUCAGGUACGAAAGCGUGGGUAGCAAACGGG
RNAcentral lists this ribosomal RNA (253 nucleotides) under uncultured bacterium. RNAcentral describes it as "partial 16S ribosomal RNA". It matches the Rfam family "Bacterial small subunit ribosomal RNA", at positions 524 to 776 of the family's 1533-position model. The record is from RNAcentral.